This 497-nucleotide ribosomal RNA is filed under the name uncultured bacterium. RNAcentral describes it as "partial 16S ribosomal RNA". It matches the Rfam family "Bacterial small subunit ribosomal RNA", at positions 28 to 507 of the family's 1533-position model. The record is from RNAcentral.
GACGAACGCUGGCGGCGUGCCUAAUACAUGCAAGUUGAGCGAUGAAGCUUGGUGCUUGCACCAAUUUGAAGAGCAGCGAACGGGUGAGUAACGCGUGGGGAAUCUGCCUUUGAGCGGGGGACAACAUUUGGAAACGAAUGCUAAUACCGCAUAAUAACUUUAAACAUAAGUUUCAAGUUUGAAAGAUGCAAUUGCAUCACUCAAAGAUGAUCCCGCGUUGUAUUAGUUAGUUGGUGAGGUAAAGGCUCACCAAGGCGAUGAUACAUAGCCGACCUGAGAGGGUUAUCUGCCCCAUUUGGACCUGGACCCCGCCCCAACCCCUUCGGGGAGCAGCAGGUGGGGAACUUCGGCCAUUGACGGAAAUCUGGCCGAAGAACGCCGCGGUGGUGGAGGAAGUUCUCCGAUUGUAAAACUCCUUUUGUUGGGAAGGACGUUGGUGAGAGUGGAAAGCUCAUCAAGUGACGGUAACUACCCAGAAAGCAACGGCUAACUACGUG